Molecule: non-coding RNA, 64 nt
Filed under: Dysgonomonas mossii
Lineage: Bacteria; Pseudomonadati; Bacteroidota; Bacteroidia; Bacteroidales; Dysgonomonadaceae
Description: DUF805 RNA
Rfam family: DUF805 RNA
Source: RNAcentral
CAUGGAGAUCUGAAACCAUACAAAAAAACGAGGCGGAACCGAAAAGCCAAAAGAGUAGGAUAAU